Molecule: long non-coding RNA, 904 nt
Organism: Vicia villosa (hairy vetch)
Lineage: Eukaryota; Viridiplantae; Streptophyta; Magnoliopsida; Fabales; Fabaceae
Exons: 4
Source: RefSeq, a predicted model, not a curated record
GACCACGAGGCCAUGAGUCGAUGAUAACUCGUUGAUGGUUUGCAACCAUCUGGAUCGCAACGCCUAUGCUCCCAACCAUCUAGUUCUACUUCUCGUAGAUGCAUCUCUCAGGCAUUUAACUCUUGUUCCUAGUUGACACGUUUAUGUUUGUGGACAAAAGUGCAACCUAUGAUGAUGUGGUCUACCUUGAGUACUUCAUCGACUUGACGAAGAUUCAUGAGUACAACUGGGGGGUUGCCAUUUUGGUCUACCUACACUCGAAGUUGGGGGAUGGUUAUCUAUGGAAGACAAAACACGUGAAAGAGAGUUGAAUGCUGCUUACAGGAUGGACCAUCUCCUACUUCCCUCGCGUUACCGGGAGGAAAGCUGUGCUUGCCUACAACGAGUAUUGGCCACGUGUUGCCGCAUUUUUCUCGUACAAGGGGUUAUAAUGCAGUCAAACCAUUCAGAGUGUAUCUUGGUUGUCAUGUACCAAGUGACGUUUCCUUCUGCCCAUAUGAGGGUCACCGCGAGACACGUCAGUUUGACAUCAUUUCCUUAUACUCCGGAUGAUUGGUUAUUCCGAGACACCAUAUGAGUCUGUUCCUCCCACCAUCCGCUGCAGAGAUCUUGAUGCGAUACCAGAUGCUUUCGAGAGUGACUUGGUACUAGAUGAGUAUUGCAGGGUACAAACUUCUUUUCAGUGGGUUGUAUCUAACGCCUACAUAACAUGGUUCUAUAGAGUUUCACGCGAUAUCAUGAUACUAGACGCUUCUAGAAUACGACAUAUGCUAACUAAUCAGGAUGAUUGCACCUGUUAGAAAUGAUAGAAGAGUUUUUCAUUUUGCUGUAACAUAAUUUCUCUAUUGUGUAUAAUCUGUUAGUUACAAAAGGUGAGAACAAGCUAUAUAUAGCAAAGAUAUGU